UCAAGUAGGUGUAUGUAUUAUCCACAGCUGAUAGAAGUAGACAGUCUAUUAUUAAAAAAAAAAAAAAAUCCCUCCAAGCAAAAGGAUUUACACUAAUAAUUCAAACUGUUUUGCUAAGACAUAACAAGGUGGACAAUAGCAUGUGGGAGGGGAUGAGGAGAGUUGGUAAUUUCAUAAAACCAUGUGUUAUGAGACACUUGUGUUCAUUUGACAUUUACUUAACCGUUUUGCCUUGAUUUGGACUAAACUUAUGGAAGUCUUGAAAGAAGAAAGUUUAUGGGUUUGUGAAUCUAUGACUAACAACUCUGCAAAUAGCCCAAACAAUAUUUAUAAACAAAUACGCUUCCUUUAUUGCAAAUUAAAAUAUAUAUAUUUCAGUUUAAUAAAUGGACCACACUAGAGGAUAUGAUUGAUAUGGCUCAAAACAAGGAAUAUAAAACAUCAUAUUGACGACAUGGGGGCACACUGAAAUGCUGUAAUUUAAUGCACAAGAAAAUGAGAUAUCAACUACCCCAACACAAAAAAAAACAUUUACAAGAGAUAACACAAUACUGUAUAUGAAAAAUGUACUAGUAAAUUAGAGAACAUUAGAGCAUCAUUAUCC
Molecule: long non-coding RNA, 604 nt
Filed under: Brassica rapa (field mustard)
Lineage: Eukaryota; Viridiplantae; Streptophyta; Magnoliopsida; Brassicales; Brassicaceae
Description: long non-coding RNA (BRAP_LNC000782)
Source: RNAcentral